RNAcentral lists this long non-coding RNA (1122 nucleotides) under Heterocephalus glaber (naked mole-rat). RNAcentral's name for it is "lncRNA (ENSHGLG00100046861.1)". Lineage: Eukaryota; Metazoa; Chordata; Mammalia; Rodentia; Bathyergidae. The record is from RNAcentral.
CUCUUCUUUAUGGUUAAUAUUCAUAUGUAUCUAUGAAAUACAUUCAUAUGUAUAUAUAUAUAAUUUUCUUUGUCCAUUCAUAUGUUGACAGGCAUCUGGCUGUUUCCAUGGCUUAGCUAUUAUGAAUCAUCAUGCUGUAAACAUGGAUCCUUUGUGUUAUGAAAGCCCCACGUGUGCAUUUCUCUAAAUGAAAGUCUCCUGAACUUAAACCCAUGGACAUUUUAAAGAAAAUGCAGUAAGCCAAUGCUUCCUUGGCUAAAAACGUGUCUGUGCUCUGCAAACAAUGAACAGAACCCAGGAAGGGAGAUGCAGACCGCCUGCUGAGCCAGUCCUAGUUCUCUUCCCUGGAAAUCUUGUCCUUGCACAGAACUUCUGGAAACCAAUAAAAGAAAACUAAUGUGCUACCCAGAGCAGAGAAAAUGGAAAUCUGCUGAGUUAAUAUUGUGGGUCAUAAAAGUCACUCAAAGAGAAUUCUUUCAAUAAGAAUAAUGGUACUGCUUAACAUCCCCAGAACACAAUGUGAAUGAGCUUUUAAAAUUUUAUUCUAAUUACAAGAGAAAUAUAUUCUGAGUAUAGAAGAUGAGGAACAUAGAGAAAACCCUGAAGGAAUCAAACAACCCUAUUGUGAGAUAAAACUCAGGUAACAUUUUGGGAUAUUUAACAAUGUCUAUUGCCUUGACGCCAAAAAGUCGGCAUUAUUGUUGAACAUUAUUAUUAUUAAAGUUUGGAUGUAUUUCAUUUGAAUGAUGGCUAUAAAUAAAUUUUAAGCAGAAAGCAAAAAUGACUUUUCUUUUGAUUCCAGGGCCUUCUCAUUAAACUACAUCCUCAAUCCUUUCUUGUUUUCUUAUUUUGAGUCAGAGCCUUGCUAAACUGCCAUGCUGUUUAAAUUGGACUCAAAACAUGCAAUCCUCCUGCCUUACCCUUCCAAAAUAUUGGAAUUACAGGCAUGCAUUGGAAUCACAGGCAUUUAAAUUUUAAAACAGAUACAGCAACACCUGUAAAGAACAGUUGGGCAUUAUGCUCUUGAAAUUUUUGAAAAACUAGAUGCUUAGUUAAUGCUUCCUUUACUUAAAAUAUUUUAGUCUCUGUGUUGGAAUUGCCCUCAAAACUGGUAUAUGAGCC